This 254-nucleotide ribosomal RNA is filed under the name uncultured bacterium. Its description in RNAcentral is "partial 16S ribosomal RNA". It matches the Rfam family "Bacterial small subunit ribosomal RNA", at positions 524 to 776 of the family's 1533-position model. The record is from RNAcentral.
GACAGAGGGUGCAAACGUUGCUCGGAAUCACUGGGCGUAAAGGGCGUGUAGGCGGGACGGUAAGUCGGGUCGUGAAAUCCCUAGGCUCAACCUAGGAACUGCACUCGAAACUACCAUUCUUGAGUGUCGGAGAGGAAAGCGGAAUUCCUGGUGUAGAGGUGAAAUUCGUAGAUAUCAGGAGGAACACCAGUGGCGAAGGCGGCUUUCUGGACGAUAACUGACGCUGAGACGCGAAAGCGUGGGGAGCAAACAGG